UACGAAGGUGGCGAGCGAUACUCGGAAUCACUAGGCGUAAAGCGCAGGUAGGCGGUUCGAUAAGUCUUUUGUGAAAGCUCCUGGCUUAACUGGGAGAGGUCAGGGGAAACUGUCGGACUAGAGUGUGGUAGGGGAUACUGGAAUUCCUGGUGUAGCGGUGAAAUGCGUAGAUAUCAGGAGGAAUACCUAUGGCGAAAGCAGGUAUCUGGGCCAUCACUGACGCCGAGCUGCGAAAGCUAGGGGAGCAAACAGG
This 253-nucleotide ribosomal RNA is filed under the name uncultured bacterium. Its description in RNAcentral is "partial 16S ribosomal RNA". It matches the Rfam family "Bacterial small subunit ribosomal RNA", at positions 524 to 776 of the family's 1533-position model. The record is from RNAcentral.